UACGGGGAGAACGAGCGUUAUUCGUCAUUACUGGGCGUAAAGGGUUUGUAGGUGGUUUAUAAAAUUUAUUAUAAAAUCCCUUACAUCUCAAAUGAGGAAAUAUAAUAAAAACUAAUAACACUUGAGUAAUUUAUAGGACAAUAGUACUCUUGAUGGAGGGGCAACAUCCUUAGAUAUUGAUGGGGACUACCGCUUGGCGAAGGCGAUUGUCUGAUAAUUUACUGACACUGAGGGACGAAAGCAUGGGGAGCAAACGGA
This 258-nucleotide ribosomal RNA is filed under the name uncultured bacterium. Its description in RNAcentral is "partial 16S ribosomal RNA". It matches the Rfam family "Bacterial small subunit ribosomal RNA", at positions 524 to 776 of the family's 1533-position model. The record is from RNAcentral.